Molecule: non-coding RNA, 152 nt
Organism: Ricinus communis (castor bean)
Lineage: Eukaryota; Viridiplantae; Streptophyta; Magnoliopsida; Malpighiales; Euphorbiaceae
Source: Rfam
AUGAUAAGAGGCUGUCUCGUUAGCCAAGGAGACUGCCUACGAAACCACAUGCAAAUUGUAGACCUGCAACUGCAAGUUGCUUUAGUCACUAAAAACAUGCAAUUGGGGCUGCAGGCAAGUCAUCCUUGGCUACCAAACGAGACUCUUCAUCU